CACGAUCAACGAAGAGUUCUCAUAUUCAUGUCACAUGAGAACUCAUGGUUGGGAUAAUGCAAAGUAGUCCUUUAACCUGAGGCAUCACAGUUGUCUUCUGGUUAAGUCCUUGAUCUUUGAUUAUGUCAAAGUCACCCUAUCGGGUGUCCACGGCAUCGUCGGGGUUAAGCCACUUAGUCAUGGAGGCAAGUGAAUGCGCAACAAGGGAUCUCUAACCUUCAAAUGGUUUUAGGGAGAAUACUCUAUAAUAUGAUUUAGAACCUCUGGCCAGAGUAUGAAUGAGAUUUAGGAAUGCGUUCCAAAUCACAUUCAAGGAAAUCAUAUAAGCACACGAAUCACAUUGGAUAGUAGACAUGAAUAAAUAAACUAUCAAACCAAACAAUGUGGUCAAGAGUAUUAGAUUAGAGAAAGACCGUAUUGCAUUUGUAAUCCUAAACUGAAUAGGUUCUCCACCUCUUCUGAUUAGCUUGGGUAACCAUGAUAUACUGCUAGGUGUCACUCAUGGUUUGUGGAAGCCCUAAACGUGUGUAAUCACUAAAGGGAGAAUUGAAAGUAAGUUUCAAUUCACAAUCGAUGUAAAAUGGUUUUAAUCGCCCACUGCCUCGCUAAAAGGAACCUAAUGGAUCGUACACCGUGUAAGGUGGAGAUUGAAGAAAACAAUGGAGAUGAGUAAGAAUAAUUAAAUGGUUUAAUUAUUUAUGGCAAGGAUUAAUUAAUAUGUUAAUUAAUCAAACGAAUAAAGUUCGUUAAAGACCUCGGGAUAGUUUUGGGCCUCAAGGCCCAAUGGGCUUCGAACGUCAAGUCCAUUGACUUAAGUUGUAUGACAACUUAAUUCACAAAGGCCCAAAAGCCCAAACAAAACCCCAUGGUCGGCCAUUUAGAGGAAGGGUAGUGAACUUGCUUUAAUUACAAGUUUGCCACUCAAAUGAAUAAAGGUAUAAAUAUGACUUUAUAGCCAAAAUUCAUUAAGGGUUUCCUUUGGAGAAAAUUGGUGAGAACUUGUCUCUCCAUUUCUCUCUAAAGAGGCCGGCCCCUUGGAGGGUGUAUCUAGCCAUACUAACUACUACAAGGUCACUCAUUUCUUCUCCAAUCUAACCUUGGUGAAGAUACUUAGAGGUUCUCAAUUUUGGGAACUUGGAGAAACUUUUUCAUCCAUCCAAAUCCAUAGAUUUUGGAUGCAAGGAAAGAAGGCCCUCUCUUUGGGUGAUUAGCCUUUGCUUAUGCAAAGAGGAAUCUACAAAGGUAAAUUUCUCAACUCACUUUGAUUUGAGUUGAGUCUUGGUUCACCAAUCUACUAGGCUUUGAAUUUCAUGGGUAAUGUUUUGUUUUUGAGUGCAUGCAAGCAUGUUUCCGCCUUUAAUUGUUAAUUGCAUGCUAUAGAUGUUAUUCAAAUGAACAUGUUUUCACAAAAUCAUCCUUCAAGUGGUAUCAGAGCCUAGGUCUAGUAGUUGGUGAAUCCUUUUGGGUUUUGUAGUUCAUAGUUUGUGAUUUAAAAGUUGUAAUAUGUUACAAGCUUUAUUCUUGUUUCUUUGAAUGUAAAUUUUGUUAGAAAAUUUGCCAUCUCAAAUGUUGUAGAUGUGGUUCAUAUGAGCAUGAAUAUUGGAGCUAAAAUUUGGUGCCAUGAUUUUGGGGAAAUUCGGCCAAAUCCAAAGGGUGGAUUUUUGGGUUCUUGUUUGACUUGUUAAAAGUGUUUUCAAGUAACUUUUGGAACCCCUAUGUACCCUAGUUUGGUUAUAUGUUAUUUCCCUAAAGUUUGAAUGGUUUUGGAAUGUUUUUGGGUGAAAAUGUUCAUGGAAUUUUUUUGAGUUUUUCAUGAAUGUUCUUCAUUGUUCUUGACAUUUUAGCCAAGAACAAAAAGUUUUGUGUUUUGAUUCAAAGUUUUGAUUUAUUUCAUAAAGUUUAUGUUUUAUGAUUUUCAAAUGUUUAAAUGUUUUAGAUAUUUGUUUAAAUGGUGUAAGAGAUAUUGGUGGGUGUGUAAGGAUUAAUUUCCUUUCACACACACCACUUGCACCACUUGAUUGCUUUAUGGCAAAAGUCACAAAUCAACACACACAUCACUCCCUUUCUUCUUCCAAAACCGGCCACCCCCUAGUGGGGGUACUUUUGGGGCCUUUUAUGCAAUUACAUAAAGUUUUGAUACUUUUGUGUAUUUGCACUUUGGCCCAAAAGUUUACGUUUUUACGUUUAGGUCCAAAAACGCUAAAGGACAAAUUGUUUUGCUCCUUUAAUGAAGUUUUUACAUUGUUUAAAUUUUGGGUUCUAGUUGUAUUUACAUGAAGUAGUGGACUUUUGUGUUCUUACAAAGUGACCCCAAAAGUUUAUGUUUUUGCAAUAUGCCCAAAAGGUUGUGGUAAUUGCAUUUUGGCCCAAAUUAGGUUGAGAACAAAAUUGUUUUGUCUCUUUAAAUGAGAAUUGGAUUUUCAUUUCAUUUAGCUCCAUUUAAAUCAAUUUUAUGGAUACAAAAACCAAAUGAAAAUGUUGCAUUCAAUUUAAUUAGUUAAAGUGUUAAUUAAUUAAAGGGUGAUUAUGAACCUAAGCCUAAUAUAAUUGAGCUAUGUGAAAGGCCGUUUCAAAUUUGUUUGAACCAUGAGAAUGUGUAGAUUAGAUUUUGGUUGUAAUUUGAUUUGAUCAAAUGUUGUAAAAGGGCAUAAGCCCUUCUUUACUUUAAGGUAAUUUGUUUUAUGCAAAUGUUGUAAUGAGCAUAAGCUCACCUUUACUUUGAAGUACUUCUUUCUUGCUUUAUUUGAUAUGCAUGAAAAUGAAGUAGUUGGGUCCAACGCCCCUAAGACAACACCCCUUAAUGUGAUUAAACGCGUAACUAAAAUCAAUCUCCAUCCCUAGACCGAGAUUCAACACAAGGCUCGUGUUGAAUCUAAACAAAGGUUCAUAGUCAUCCUUAGGCCCUAAGGCAACUAUAUAGUCCAUCAAAUGAAUGCAAAGGUUAUGUUAGUAGUAUCAUAUACUCUUGCUUUAAAAACCGUUUUAUAAGCAUAGUGGGAGUAUUAUAUACAACUAAACACAAUCAAAUGGACCAAUAGUUGUAAUAGGACCAAAAUUGUUUUAAUUAGAUUAAAAUGAAUAUUUAUAUGUGAUGAGACCUAAAACCCUCAACCAAACCAUUAUUAAGUUGACAAGCGUGAGAGUGCUUUGAACACUCUUUCGUGGCCUUCCACCAUGGUAGCUCCAAUCGUUUAUGACUUGUACACCGCCUUCACCCUAUCAUGGGGGAGUGCAAAGUGCAUGCUUAUACUCAGGAGGAGUCUAUAUACAUACUUGAUGAGGUGAAAGUGUAGGCAACGAGUGAAUGGCCGACAUCGUAUCAUUCGUGAGGCUAUUCUUGAACCCCUUCACGAACUAAGCAUGGUGGGAAUGACUUAACUAAGUGCAAUGGAGCCAACAUCAUACCAUUGUGAGGUGACAUUCUCUAGAGGCCAAAUAAGAUGGGUACUUGCAUUAGUUGCAAAUGAGUAAGCGUACUCUGUCAUUAUUAUUAAUGCUAGCUAACAUCAUAUCAUUGUGAGGUGGGCUUGGUAAUAGUGAGCCUCCCAUACCCUACUAAGAGUUUCAUCCAAAACUCUCGAAUUCCAAUGAGGGAUAUGGAAUUUGCCAAAAAUAGUGGGUGGUGCUAUUUUGAUUUAAAGACCCGAAUCAAAUGGCUUAAAAUCAAUCAAUUUAUAUUCGUUAUGUAUUUGUUUACCAAUAUAUUUGCAAACGCUAUCCAACACUUGACAAAUAAAAGCCGAAAGCUUUUAGUUUCCGUACUUGGUACCACAAUCCCAAAGAAUGUCUUAAAAUGGAUUGCAUAUGUAUCUAAGUAGUCUCAUUCCUCACAAUCUUCCUAUUGAUAAUGUACCAUUGGAAGAAAAUGUUAGAUAAAGGUCUAUCAUAAAGAGGACAACACUUUUAAAUGUCAUAAUUCUUCAAUUACAAAUUGUUGUAUGAAGAAAUAAGGAGUUGCUUUGAACAACCCUUAGUCAAUGCAAACACUUAGUGCUUGUUUCUUUGUUAAAUGAACAAGGAACUUGAGAAGAAAGCACAAAGGCAUGGAACACUUUAUGUGCCAUGAUUCUUCACUUACAAAUUGUUGUAUGAAGAAAUGAGAGUUGCCUUGAACAACUCUUGAAAGUUUGUAAUUAUGUUUAGAAACAUAAUGGUUGGUUGACAAAAAUAGUCCAUCAACAUGGACUUAUGAUGAUUUUGAAUCAUUGAGUGUUGAAGUGAUAAACCACUUAACGAGACGGAAACUAGGCAAGGACUUCACCUUUGUUUCCCUAUCCUAAUCAUUCACUAAGUUUAUUGUAAACUAUGUAGUGAACAAUAACCACAUGCUCUCCAAAAUGUUUUUGAUGUGUACAAACACAAUUGAAAAAGGUUUCAAGAGAGAUAAUGGGAGUUUAGGGACCAUGACUAUUGUAGUCAAAGGAGAAGUCAAAUGAAAGAAGAUAAAAUUAACUCCAAGGGAACAAACUUUCUUUAUGAAAGGAUGGACAUUGGAAGGGGUAUUUGCAAGAAAUGUCUUGCAAGUGUCAAGGAACACACAUUUCGAAGGUGUUGUAAAUUGUUCUUGAAUAGUUCAAAACAGUUGGUUCUUCUACUUGAAUGCUUGAUUCCGUAUUAGUAACUAUGUUUUACAAUCGUUGUAAAAGUGUGACUAAUAAGAAGUAGAAGAUAUAUGAGAGAAGAGAAAGUACUUCACAUUCGGAAGCGUGAAUCAAAUGUAGAUCUCUGCGAAAGCAGAUGGUACUUACUUCCUCAUAUGAACUACCAAAGAAAUUGGAAAAACAAAGAUUGUCUUUAUAUUCCAAUUUUAAGGAAUUUAAAUUCCGUCACUUAUAGUAGAGAAUGGAUGAAAUGUUUUGUUUGACAAAACAAUGUUCUUUAUUAAUCAAUGAUUGGAUUAUGUAAUCUAAUUGAAUUAUCUCUAUAGUAGAGAUAAUAUGGUAGUGUUAACUGUUUAGAAAUAAUAAUGAUGCUUAAAACCCAAAAGGUUGCAAGAUAGUGACUAAUCCCAACUAAAGUUGUGAUACCUUUGAAAACAUAAGUUACGAGUUGGUCAUAGAUGGAUGCUAUGGAUCGUUAGAUCCGGAUCCAAUACCUUUCUUGUUAAAAUUGUAUAGAGGCGAAAUGUUCGAAUCUUUAUUCUUUUGGAAAGAAGAAAGAAUCACAAAGUUGUUGAGGUUAAUUCACUUAGAUGUUAGUGGCACUUGUCCACAAACAUAAUACUACUCAUGUUGUAAUGAACAUUCACCGAAAGAUCACUCUCGGUUGGACUAUAGUUUAUUUUGAAUAAACACAAGUCCGAAUACUUUGCAAAAGUUUCAAAGAAUUCAAGUAAUGUAAGUUGAUGAGUAAGACGUCUAAAGUAUUUACCUCCUUAGAUUUGAUCCAAGAUAAGGUAACACUUUAGAACAGUUUCCUUGAAAGAUAUCAAGGAAAGUAGCAUCAUAAGAUAAUGUAUUUCUCCAUUAGGAGAGAAGAACGAACUCGAAAUAAGAUUUAGUUCGUUAGAUGUUAUCUAUUACCCAUAUAUAGGAUAUAUACUUCUAAAAACAAUAUGAUUGUCAAUUAGAAGAUCUUCCAAAUUUUUCAUGAACUCCAUAAGAUGUAGUUGGAAAAGAAAGACAAAUCUUAAGCAUGUUAAAGAUUUGGGGUUGUGUGCUUAUAAGCAAUAUUUGUUUGAUAACAAACUUGUGGGAUAUCCUUAAAUUAACUUUUGGAUAUCGCUUCUAUAAACCAACUAACAAAUGUUGUUUUGUUGGGUAGUUCAUUGUAAUUCCUACAAUGUGAUUUGCCUAAAAGCAAAUGAACGAGAAGAUAGAACUCAAAGAAUGGGUUCUUUGAGAGACAAGAUAGUAAUCAACAAAUAUAACAACCUAGUUCCUAUACUUCACAAGCUCCAAGGUAGUCGAUAAGGAUUUAUAAACCGUCUCAGUUGAAUGGUUUUGAACUUUAUGACUAUGUUAUAGAGUUGCACCUCUUAAUUCGAAAGAAAUAAGAAUGAAAAUCCUUAUGACUACAUUGAAUGCAUAUACGAUAUAUACUCAAGGAAAUGGUAAAAUACCAUUUGACCCGAAAUAAUGAAACCUUCAUAAGCUAAUUGGUAGCUUAAGGUGACUACAAUCAAAUAGAAUGGUUGACUUUGAAAGGAAACCAUUUUUGAUGAUAGUCUUAGUUUCAAUUAAUUCGAAGAUUGCUAGCUACAACUAAAUGGUGAUUCAAUGUUUGGACAUAAUAUGGGUUUCCGAAACCAUUAUUAAGAUAGUCUUGAUAAUAUAUGUCUAAAACUAUAAAUCACAAGACAUGUAAGUUGUAGAGAUCCAUCCAUCAUGGAAUCUUAGCAAGUUAGUGGGAGCUAUUUGCAUUUAUGAGAAAAAGGAUCAAAUCGUUUGAUUUCUCAUAAAGAUGCAAAUGAAAUCUUUUGUUUACUAGGUUUACAAAAGAUUAGUGGGAGUUGAAUCAUGUUCCUAAAAUUUAAAUAUAUAUGAUAUAUUAAUUUUGGAAAUGAAAUGAAUACUUCUUUGUUAAAGUUAUGACUUUAAUACAUUAUAUGAAGAUAGAAUGUAUAUGGGAGUUAAUCAUGUUCCUAAAAUUUAAAUAUAUAUGAUAUAUUAAUUUUGGAAAUGAAAAGAAUACUUCUUCGUUAAAGUUAUGACUUUAAAACAUUAUAUGAAGAUAGAAAUGUAUAUGGGAGACAUAGUCUAUAUACAUGGGAUGGAAAUCUAUAAUGAUAGAUUUUAGGAUAUAAUUUGGAUUAUAUCAAUCCCUAAUAAUAGACAAUGAGAUGCUAGGAAGUUUCUCAUAUGAUGAUAAACUUCAAUCAAGAAGGACGAUUCUAGUGAGACUAAGCAAGUUGCCUCUUCUCAAAGGGAAUGUACCCUUUGACUCCCAAAGAAAUAAAUGCGUAAAUAUGAAUCCUUUAUGCACUAGCGGAAAGGUGAUUUAUGUAUUUCAUAUUGUAUGAAAAACAUUGAUAUGAGUUGUACCUAGAACGGUACAAGACGAUAUCAGUGCAAGCCCAGGAUCAGAACCAUGGCAACUGUCAAGUGAGUCCUUAAGUAUUUAAAAAAAUACUAAAGGAUAGAAUUCCUCAAAGAAUCGAGGAAGAAUUAGAAGUAACGUAAUGGAAGCGUAAAUGUAUUAGAUUAUGAAUCUAAUCCAUCAUUGGAUGUUUCUUGAUUAUGAAUGAAGAGAUAAACAGAUAUCUCUUUAUUAUGACUAAAGAGAUAUUUGGAUGGAAACAUUAAAGUAAUGACUUUAGUGUGUUCCAUUAUGAAUGCAAGAUAUAUUGCCAUAUAGAAGUUUACAACAAUGUUGUUUGGAUGGGAAAGUUCAUUUAUGAACUCUCUAUUCGGUUCCAACCAGAAAGUGUAUGACACUAAUGGGGCGAUAGCUCAAGCCUGGGAAUCAAGGUCUCAUCAAGAUCCGAACACAUAUGAGAGACUGAAACCACAUGAUUGAGAAUCAUGUAUAAUGGUGACGUCGUUAUUCUCAAGGUUGCUUCUAUGGAUAACACAUAUAGAUAUCCAUUGCCUAGGCCUACUACUUCAGUCCAUUUAUGAAAUGACUACAGAAGAGGUAUCAUCACUGAUGACCAAGCUGAUUGGCUCUAGUGCAAGUGGGAGAUUGUUGGAAAUGUGCCCUAAAACCAAUCAUGUGAUGAUACUUUACGGACAUUUCACAUGUUAAACUAAUCUAGUUUUACAUAUCAAAGGGCAAAGAUUAUUGUUUUAAGCCGUCUCAUAUAAAUGUUAUAUGCUUAAACGAUAAAGUCCAAGGAAUAUGUGAUUGGGAGAAUGUAAUCUAAAGAAGUUAGAUUUAUGAGACCAUUCUUUCGUAGACACAUCCUAAACGUUCCUGAUCAUAGGAUUGCCAAUUGGGCGUUGACAGUCCGUUAAGAUCAGUACGUACUAUGUCUUCUCUCAGGGAGAGUGACUUAGUCUCGAAUCAUUGGUGUGUGUGACAUCAAGACAAGUACGGUAGGUGCUCAAUAGAGAAUGAGUUCACUGAACACGAUCAACGAAGAGGUUCUCAUAUUCCAUGUCACAUGAGAACUCAUGGUUGGGAUAAUGCAAAGUAGUCCUUUGACCUGAGGCAUCAUAGUUGUCUUGUGGUUAAGACCUUGAUCUUUGAUUAUGUCAAAGUCACUCCAUCAGAGGGUGUCCACGGCAUCGUUGGGGUUAAGCCACUUAGUCAUGGAGACAAGUGAAUGCGCAACAAGGGAUCUCUAACCUUCAAAUGGUUUGAGGGAGAAUACUCUAUGAUAUGAUUUAGAACCUCUGGCCAGAGUAUGAAUGA
This 8295-nucleotide long non-coding RNA is filed under the name Malus domestica (apple). Its description in RNAcentral is "long non-coding RNA (MDOM_LNC016975)". Lineage: Eukaryota; Viridiplantae; Streptophyta; Magnoliopsida; Rosales; Rosaceae. The record is from RNAcentral.